Arabidopsis lyrata subsp. lyrata is the source of this 681-nucleotide long non-coding RNA. RefSeq lists it as uncharacterized. NCBI's taxonomy places the organism in Eukaryota, Viridiplantae, Streptophyta, Magnoliopsida, Brassicales, Brassicaceae. The record is from RefSeq and is a predicted model, not a curated record. The transcript has 3 exons.
AUCACAACAUCAAACACACAAAGCCUUCUGUAUCGCCAGGGCAUGGCGUAUUGAUAUUGGGUAGGGGUAUAUGCUUCUUCCUCGGCCUCAGAUUCCUUGUGCCCACCGCCACUGCGCGUGUUCUUCACCUGCAUUUAUAUUUCCAUUAUUCAGAUAUUAAUUACCAAUAAUGUAUUAGAUUGUGAAAAUAGUCUAAUUAUAUUAUUAAUCUGGGUUUGCAUGUGAAACGCUUUGUUAUUUUUCUCUUUAGAGGAUGAUGGUAAGCUAGGCUUAUUCUCUUUUAAAAUCUCAGUUUCCGUUUUUAGUAUAUAAUGUUAUAUUUUCAUUUUUUGUGUUUGGAUUCAGGAAUUGGAAAUUUUCGCUUUAUUACCGACCAGCCUCAAGCCCGACCUUCGUCCCAUCUGUGCAUUCAAACUCACACAUGAAGAUAAUUGGAAUUGAGAAGGAAGGACGACGAGCAGUUUGAUAGCAUCAUAAUUCGCACAAUGAUUUCCGGAGCAUAAGGACAAGAGGGUAAAGCAGUUCUAAGGUUGGUCUUUGAUCCGCAGGGAAGUCAGUGGAGGAAGAGAUGGUAUACAUAAGAAGAUGUUUGGCUGGAUUAUGUGUACCUGAGGAGAACAUGUGAAAGCCAAUGUUUGCUUUUUUGUUUGUUUGCUCUUUCAAAUAACCGUAUUCUUUCAA